RNAcentral lists this ribosomal RNA (468 nucleotides) under uncultured bacterium. RNAcentral's name for it is "partial 16S ribosomal RNA". It matches the Rfam family "Bacterial small subunit ribosomal RNA", at positions 28 to 507 of the family's 1533-position model. The record is from RNAcentral.
GAUGAACGCUGGCGGCGUGCUUAAUACAUGCAAGUCGAACGGAAAGGCGAUGCUCUUGCUCGGCGCUCGUGUGGCGAACGGGUGAGUAAAACGCGAGUAAACCGCCCUUGAAUUUCGGAUAAAACUUGGAAAAUGGGGAGCAUAUCGGGUAGGAGAUACUGAUGCACGUGGGGGGAUGGAAAGAGUCGGCGGUUGGGGAUGGGCUCGCGGCUUACCAGCUGGUUGGUGGGGUAGUGGCUUACCAAGGUUUUGACGGGUAGCCGGCCUGAGAGGGUGACCGGCCACAUUGGGACUGAGAUACGGCCCAGACUCCUACGGGAGGCAGCAGUGGGGAAUAUUGCACAAUGGGCGGAAGCCUGAUGCAGCAACGCCGCGUGCGGGAUGACGGCCUUCGGGUUGUAAACCGCUUUCGCCUGUGACGAAGCGUGAGUGACGGUAAUGUGUAAAGAAGCACCGGCUAACUACGUG